This 26-nucleotide non-coding RNA is filed under the name Homo sapiens (human). Lineage: Eukaryota; Metazoa; Chordata; Mammalia; Primates; Hominidae. The record is from RNAcentral.
UGUGAACAAUUAAGUGGAGAGAUGGA